Molecule: non-coding RNA, 533 nt
Organism: Penaeus vannamei (Pacific white shrimp)
Lineage: Eukaryota; Metazoa; Arthropoda; Malacostraca; Decapoda; Penaeidae
Source: RefSeq, a predicted model, not a curated record
AAUAUUAUCAAUAUUAUCAUCAAUUAUUUGUUAUCAAUAUUAUCGACAAUAUCAUCAAUUAUUCGUUAUCAGUAUUACCAACCAUCCGUUAUCAAUAAUAUUACCAGUUAUUCGUUAUCCAUUCACCCUUCUUUAUCACCCUCUCUAAUGCGUGUUCUCCAUUCCAUCCUCUUUUGUGGAAGAGGAGAUGGAACGAGGAACGGUUGGGCGGAACCGAAUCAGCUGUUCGAUUUUGGGCGACUUUGCUCUGCGGUUGGAAGUGCAAUGACCUGCCCGCGUGACCUGUCUUGACCUGUGGCGGUUUGACCCUGACCUGACCUCGCCGACAACUCGAUAGCUAAAGGAAAUUUUCUGAUGAAUCUCAGUGUCAGGCGACUGCUGGAGCGAGAACCAAUCCUUCGCAUACUUUGUGCUCGAAUUUUCCUGAAAAACCCGAUGUCUUUGUGGGAAUUUGUGGUUUAUUCAUUUUCCUUAAAUGGCGGAGAGAAUGCGUGUAUGUAAAAGAGGAGAAAUAAAAUAUUUUUUCAGCGGAU